CCCUUAGAUGUUCGGGGCUGCACACGCGCUACACUGGAGGAAACAGCGUGUAUUGACCUGGUCCGAAAGGACUGGGUAAACCUGUGAAACUUCUCCGUGCUUGGGAUAGCGGAUUGCAAUUGUUUCGCUUCAACGAGGAAUUCCUAGUAAGCGUAAGUCAUAAGCUUGCGCUGAUUACGUCCCUGCCCUUUGUACACACCGCCCGUCGCUCCUACCGAUUGAGUGGUCCGGUGAGGCUUUGGGAUCUGAGCGGAAAGAGCGUUUCGCUGUUUCUGCUCGGAAAACUCAGUCGAACCUUAUCAUUUAGAGGAAGGAGAAGUCGUAACA
RNAcentral lists this ribosomal RNA (327 nucleotides) under uncultured eukaryote. Its description in RNAcentral is "partial 18S ribosomal RNA". It matches the Rfam family "Eukaryotic small subunit ribosomal RNA", at positions 1470 to 1796 of the family's 1831-position model. The record is from RNAcentral.